GCCAACGUAGCUCAGUGGUAGAGCAGCGGUUUCGUAAACCGCAGGUCGGCGGUUCAAAUCCGCCCGUUGGCUCCA
RNAcentral lists this transfer RNA (75 nucleotides) under Dehalococcoidia bacterium. RNAcentral describes it as "tRNA-Thr". It matches the Rfam family "tRNA". Rfam says of the family: Transfer RNA (tRNA) molecules are approximately 80 nucleotides in length. Their secondary structure includes four short double-helical elements and three loops (D, anti-codon, and T loops). The record is from RNAcentral. Lineage: Bacteria; Bacillati; Chloroflexota; Dehalococcoidia.